UGUUGAUUCAGUCGACUAAACGGUUCGUCAUCUUUUCCCCUCCUGGACGGAUGAGAAGUUACCCUACGUAGGGGAGGCGUGAUCCCCGCCUCCCCUCAUUAUUCUUCAGACCUGGUCCUCAACCAGUGGAGAGCAGAAAUCAAGCUCAAAAUUGUUUCCAGACCUGGUUGAGUUCAAGCUGUUUUCCAGACUCUUCUUAAAGAGUGUUUCCUGACUUCUGGAUAAGGAUUCAAGUCUCCAGUUAUUUCCUCUGGAUCAAGUUCAAGCUGGCAGCUUCCUGGCUCUUCGACAAUCUGGAUCAAAUCAUAAGCGAACCCUGUCCACACUCCAACAAACUCUCACGCAAGUAUUGCCAACCUGUGCUCCACAUCAAUCCACUCCCAUCACAGUCCUGGAUCAGAGCUCCUAAGGAUCUACCUUCACAGAACUGCUCCUGCGUUGUGCUCUCAGACCCCGCAUCUCUCAUCCCUCUGGGGGUCCAUCUUCCUCCCCCCCAUUGGAGAUUUACCGGUCCAGGAUCUCAACCCAUUUUACUCCCGUGAAAAUAAAUCUUUUAAAAACUUA
Long non-coding RNA from Girardinichthys multiradiatus, 564 nucleotides. RefSeq lists it as uncharacterized. The record is from RefSeq and is a predicted model, not a curated record. The transcript is spliced from 3 exons. Lineage: Eukaryota; Metazoa; Chordata; Actinopteri; Cyprinodontiformes; Goodeidae.